UGGGGAAUAUUGCACAAUGGGGGAAACCCUGAUGCAGCGACGCCGCGUGAGCGAAGAAGGCCUUCGGGUCGUAAAGCUCUUUUAUAUGGGAAGAUAAUGACGGUACCAUAAGAAAAAGCCCCGGCUAACUACGUGCCAGCAGCCGCGGUAAUACGUAGGGGGCGAGCGUUGUCCGGAAUUAUUGGGCGUAAAGGGUACGUAGGCGGUUUUUUAAGUCAGGUGUCAAAGCGUGGAGCUUAACUCCAUUAAGCACUUGAAACUGAAAGACUUGAGUGAAGGAGAGGAAAGUGGAAUUCCUAGUGUAGCGGUGAAAUGCGUAGAUAUUAGGAGGAAUACCGGUGGCGAAGGCGACUUUCUGGACUUUUACUGACGCUCAGGUACGAAAGCGUGGGGAGCAAACAGG
RNAcentral lists this ribosomal RNA (403 nucleotides) under Verrucomicrobiota bacterium. RNAcentral's name for it is "Verrucomicrobia bacterium partial 16S ribosomal RNA". It matches the Rfam family "Bacterial small subunit ribosomal RNA", at positions 355 to 776 of the family's 1533-position model. Lineage: Bacteria; Pseudomonadati; Verrucomicrobiota. The record is from RNAcentral.